Molecule: non-coding RNA, 959 nt
Filed under: Boulengerella maculata (spotted pike-characin)
Lineage: Eukaryota; Metazoa; Chordata; Actinopteri; Characiformes; Ctenoluciidae
Description: 12S ribosomal RNA
Rfam family: Bacterial small subunit ribosomal RNA
Source: RNAcentral
CAAAAGCAUGGUCCCGACUUUACCAUCAGCUCUAACUCAACUUACACAUGCAAGUCUCCGCGCCCCCGUGAGUUUUACCCUUAAUUUUCCCUUCUCCGGAAAUGAGGAGUAGGCAUCAGGCACGCACAGCAGCCCAAGACGCCACGCCACGCCACACCCCCAAGGGAAUUCAGCAGUGAUAAAUAUUAAGCAAUAAGUGAAAACUUGACUUAGUCAGAGUUAAGAGGGCCGGUAAAACCCGUGCCAGCCACCGCGGUUAGACGAGUAGGCCCAAGUUGAUAGAUUACGGCGUAAAGAGUGGUUAAGGAUUUUCUCCAAAUUAAAGCCAAAGGCCUUCAUCGCUGUUAUAAGCAGAUCCGAAGAUCCGAAGCCCAUAACGAAAGUAGCUUUAUUAACACCUGACCCCACGAAAGCUAAGGAACAAACUGGGAUUAGAUACCCCAUUAUGCUUAGCCUUAAACUUAGAUGAACACCUACAACUUCAUCCGCCUGGGAACUACGAGCGCUAGCUUAAAACCCAAAGGACUUGACGGUGUUUCAGACCCAACUAGAGGAGCCUGUCCUAGAACCGAUAACCCCCGUUCAACCUCACCAUCUCUCGUUUAUUCCGCCUAUAUACCGCCGUCGCAAGCUUUCCCUGUGAAGGACCAAUAGAAAGCAUAAUGGGGAUCCCCCAAAACGUCAGGUCGAGGUGUAGCUUAUGAGAUGGGAAGAGAUGGGCUACAUUUUCUACCACAGAAAUAUCACGAAUAACCCUGUGAAACCCGGGGUUCUGAAGGUGGAUUUAGAAGUAAAAAACAAGUAGAGAGUGUUUUUGAAUCAGGCCCUGAGACGUGUACAGACCGCCCGUCACUCUCCCCGUCCCAAUCAACUAAUGUAAAUAACCAGACGAACCAUAAGAUAGGGGAGACAAGUCGUAACAUGGUAAGUGUACCGGAAGGUGUACUUGGAUAUUUUUU